GACGUAGGGCGCGAGCGUUGUCCGGAUUUAUUGGGCGUAAAGAGCUCGUAGGCGGCUUGUUGCGUCGACCGUGAAAACCCGGGGCUCAGCUUCGGGCUUGCGGUCGAUACGGGCGGGCUAGAGUUCGGUAGGGGAGACUGGAAUUCCUGGUGUAGCGGUGAAAUGCGCAGAUAUCAGGAGGAACACCGGUGGCGAAGGCGGGUCUCUGGGCCGAUACUGACGCUGAGGAGCGAAAGCGUGGGGAGCGAACAGG
This 253-nucleotide ribosomal RNA is filed under the name uncultured bacterium. Its description in RNAcentral is "partial 16S ribosomal RNA". It matches the Rfam family "Bacterial small subunit ribosomal RNA", at positions 524 to 776 of the family's 1533-position model. The record is from RNAcentral.